AUUGAACGCUGGCGGCAUGCUUUACACAUGCAAGUCGAACGGUAGAGGGGGCAACCCCUUGAGAGUGGCGAACGGGUGAGUAAUGCAUCGGAACGUGCCCAGUAGUGGGGGAUAGCCCGGCGAAAGCCGGAUUAAUACCGCAUACGACCUUAGGGUGAAAGCGGGGGAUCGCAAGACCUCGCGCUAUUGGAGCGGCCGAUGUCAGAUUAGGUAGUUGGUGGGGUAAAGGCCUACCAAGCCGACGAUCUGUAGCUGGUCUGAGAGGACGACCAGCCACACUGGGACUGAGACACGGCCCAGACUCCUACGGGAGGCAGCAGUGGGGAAUUUUGGACAAUGGGCGCAAGCCUGAUCCAGCCAUGCCGCGUGCGGGAAGAAGGCCUUCGGGUUGUAAACCGCUUUUGUCAGGGAAGAAAUCUUCUGGGCUAAUACCCUGGGAGGAUGACGGUACCUGAAGAAUAAGCACCGGCUAACUACGUGCCAGCAGCCGCGGUAAUACGUAGGGUGCAAGCGUUAAUCGGAAUUACUGGGCGUAAAGCGUGCGCAGGCGGUCUUGUAAGACAGAGGUGAAAUCCCCGGGC
RNAcentral lists this ribosomal RNA (581 nucleotides) under uncultured bacterium. RNAcentral's name for it is "bacterial SSU rRNA". It matches the Rfam family "Bacterial small subunit ribosomal RNA", at positions 28 to 608 of the family's 1533-position model. The record is from RNAcentral.